RNAcentral lists this ribosomal RNA (253 nucleotides) under uncultured bacterium. Its description in RNAcentral is "partial 16S ribosomal RNA". It matches the Rfam family "Bacterial small subunit ribosomal RNA", at positions 524 to 776 of the family's 1533-position model. The record is from RNAcentral.
UACGAAGGGAGCUAGCGUUGCUCGGAUUCACUGGGCGUAAAGCGCGUGUAGGCGGUUUGAUAAGUCAGGAGUGAAACCCUAGGGCUUAACUCCGGAAUUGCGUUUAAUACUGUCAAGCUAGAGUAUGGUAGAGGGUGGUGGAAUUCCCAGUGUAGAGGUGAAAUUCGUAGAUAUUGGGAGGAACACCGAUUGCGAAAGCAGCUAGCUGGGCCAUAAUUGACGCUAAGGCGCGAAAGCGUGGGGAUCAAACAGG